Molecule: transfer RNA, 72 nt
Filed under: Vicingaceae bacterium
Lineage: Bacteria; Pseudomonadati; Bacteroidota; Flavobacteriia; Flavobacteriales; Vicingaceae
Description: tRNA-Arg
Rfam family: tRNA
About the family: Transfer RNA (tRNA) molecules are approximately 80 nucleotides in length.
Source: RNAcentral
GGUUCCGUAGUUCAAUGGAUAGAACGGGAGUUUCCUAAACUCUAAAUGCAGGUUCGAUUCCUGCCGGAACCA